This 306-nucleotide unclassified non-coding RNA is filed under the name plant metagenome. RNAcentral describes it as "partial contains 5.8S ribosomal RNA, internal transcribed spacer 2, and large subunit ribosomal RNA". The stretch from base 1 to 105 matches the Rfam family "5.8S ribosomal RNA", at positions 50 to 154 of the family's 154-position model. The record is from RNAcentral.
GAAAUGCGAUAAGUAAUGUGAAUUGCAGAAUUCAGUGAAUCAUCGAAUCUUUGAACGCACAUUGCGCCUAUUAGUAUUCUGGCGGGCAUGCCUGUCCGAGCGUCAUUUCAACCAUCAAGCCCCCGGGCUUGUGUUGGGGACCUGCGGCUGCCCGCAGGCCCUGAAAACCAGUGGCGGGCUCGCUGUCACACCGAGCGUAGUAGCAAUCACCUCGCUCAGGGCGUGCUGCGGGUUCCGGCCGUUAAACAGCCUUACAAAACCCAAGGUUGACCCCGGAUCAGGUAGGAAGACCCGCUGAACUUAAGC